Molecule: unclassified non-coding RNA, 257 nt
Filed under: uncultured fungus
Lineage: Eukaryota; Fungi
Description: partial contains small subunit ribosomal RNA, internal transcribed spacer 1, and 5.8S ribosomal RNA
Rfam family: Eukaryotic small subunit ribosomal RNA (bases 1-73)
Source: RNAcentral
GCAAACUUGGUCAUUUAGAGGAAGUAAAAGUCGUAACAAGGUCUCCGUAGGUGAACCUGCGGAGGGAUCAUUACCGAGCUCAUGCCCUCUGGGCAGAUCUCCCACCCACUGUUAUUAUUACGACCGUUGCUUUGGCGGGCCGCCGUGCCCGCCAGAGGCUCUGUAAACUCUGGAUGUUUGUGUCGUCUGAGUACUAUAUAAUAGUUAAAACUUUCAACAACGGAUCUCUUGGUUCUGGCAUCGAUGAAGAACGCAGC